CAGCGCCACAAGUGGGGACCAUGUUUAUUGGGCCUAAAGCGUCCGUAGCCUGUUUAGUAAAUCUUUUGUGAAAUCAUCUCGCUUAACGUGAUGGAUUGCAGGAGACACUGCUAGACUUGGAACCGGGAGAGGUUAGAGGAAUUAUGGGGGUAGCGGUAAAAUGUUAUAAUCCCCGUAAGACCACCUGUGGCGAAGGCGUCUAACUAGAACGGUUUCGACGGUGAGGGACGAAAGCCAGGGGAGCGAUCCGGAUUAGAUACCCGAGUAGUCC
This 271-nucleotide ribosomal RNA is filed under the name uncultured archaeon. RNAcentral describes it as "partial 16S ribosomal RNA". It matches the Rfam family "Archaeal small subunit ribosomal RNA", at positions 477 to 747 of the family's 1478-position model. The record is from RNAcentral.